UAUGGAAAGCUAUAUAAAGGACACCAUCCUUA
This 32-nucleotide non-coding RNA is filed under the name Homo sapiens (human). The record is from RNAcentral. Lineage: Eukaryota; Metazoa; Chordata; Mammalia; Primates; Hominidae.